GGGGUGCGCACUUGGGCCCCCCUGGCCAUGGCGGCGAAGGUGGACCUGAGCACCUCCACCGACUGGAAGGAGGCGAAAUCCUUUCUGAAGGGCCUGAGUGACAAGCAGCGGGAGGAACAUUACUUCUGCAAGGACUUUGUCAGGCUGAAGAAGAUCCCGACAUGGAAGGAGAUGGCGAAAGGGGUGGCUGUGAAGGUGGAGGAGCCCAGGUAUAAAAAGGACAAGCAGCUCAAUGAGAAAAUCUCCCUGAUCCGCAGCGACAUCACCAAGCUGGAGGUGGACGCCAUCGUCAACGCUGCCAAUAGCUCCCUGCUCGGAGGCGGUGGCGGACUGAAAUGUUUACUCGGCGAUAAGGAGCCGGCUUUCUCGGGGAGAUUUGUGCGCUCUUUUUCAAUUACCCCUCGUCUUUCUCUGCCACUUUUGCACUAAAGGGAUAAUAAAUGUAUCGGAGCGUUUCAA
RNAcentral lists this small RNA (459 nucleotides) under Pongo abelii (Sumatran orangutan). RNAcentral's name for it is "processed transcript". Lineage: Eukaryota; Metazoa; Chordata; Mammalia; Primates; Hominidae. The record is from RNAcentral.